CUACGGGGUGCAGCAGUGAGGAAUAUUGCACAAUGGAGGAAACUCUGAUGCAGCGACGCCGCGUGGAGGAUGACACUUUUCGGAGCGUAAACUCCUUUUAUAUAGGAAGAAGAUGACGGUACUAUAUGAAUAAGCGCCGGCUAACUCCGUGCCAGCAGCCGCGGUAAUACGGAGGGCGCAAGCGUUACUCGGAAUCACUGGGCGUAAAGAGCGUGUAGGCGGAUUAAAAAGUCAGAAGUGAAAUCCUAUAGCUUAACUAUAGAACUGCUUCUGAAACUCUUAAUCUAGAAUAUGGGAGAGGUAGAUGGAAUUUCUGGUGUAGGGGUAAAAUCCGUAGAGAUCAGAAGGAAUACCGAUUGCGAAGGCGAUCUGCUGGAACAUUACUGACGCUAAGGCGUGAAAGCGUGGGGAGCAAACAGGAUUAGAUACCCUCGUAGUC
Molecule: ribosomal RNA, 439 nt
Filed under: uncultured bacterium
Lineage: Bacteria
Description: partial 16S ribosomal RNA
Rfam family: Bacterial small subunit ribosomal RNA
Source: RNAcentral